Molecule: long non-coding RNA, 357 nt
Filed under: Jatropha curcas
Lineage: Eukaryota; Viridiplantae; Streptophyta; Magnoliopsida; Malpighiales; Euphorbiaceae
Description: long non-coding RNA (JCUR_LNC003058)
Source: RNAcentral
UUUUCAGAAUUUGCAGUACCCAAAAUUCCCUUAUCUCUCCGUAAGCUUGCUGGACUUCCAGCGCUACUGGUUUGGAAAUCCUUUUUAGUGGAUUCCCAUUCCUGAGUUAGAGCAUCGAAUUUGGCAUGCAGUUCCUUGUUGGAUUGUUGCGCAGCUAAUAACAAGUUAAAGAGCUUAGCCAGCUAGUCUUGAACAGAAUCUCCCAUAACUGUUGGCUCUGAUACCAAACUGUUAUGGUCCCGGCUAACGGAUCUAAUUAUGGGUCGAUGGGUAGUAGGAGGGGUUGGUGUUUGGGUGUUUGGGUUAGGGUGUUUCCUUGAGCGACCUAUGGUGGAAGACAAGAAAAGUCAGACUCGU